This 390-nucleotide small RNA is filed under the name Drosophila virilis. RNAcentral's name for it is "GJ26144". Lineage: Eukaryota; Metazoa; Arthropoda; Insecta; Diptera; Drosophilidae. The record is from RNAcentral.
UGCUUAUUAAUUUAUUUCAAAGGCACUUUUUUGCCUGACUUGACUUGCUCGUCGCGUAACUCGAAAGCUUGGCGCCAAUAAAUUUCUGGAAACUUUGCGAAAGGAUGUAUUUCUUAAUUAAGUGCGAGUAAUAUUAUGUAUUGCAAAAAAAAAAAAAUUAAGAUAGUGGAAGGAAGUAAAAUGUUUCGAAGCGGAGAUUAUUGAUUCGCGAGUAGAAGAUUGUGAAAUACUGGGCCAGCAAUGUCAAGAACUUAAUAAGGACUUACUAGAAGCAGAUACUAAGUUAAAUGAAAGUGAAGCAACAACGAAUGAUGAUAAAUCCGAGGAGCCAUUAGCAGCUUAUAAGUCAAAUACUGACACAACAAAUAAAAGCAACCUGGGACAAUUUGA